CAGUACUGACACAGUGACACUCACAUUGUGGUUGUUUUUCUUUCCGUUUUAGUUCGAGUCCGGUGUUGUUGUUGAAUUGUUUGCUGUAACGCCUUCUCGUUUGAUUCACGGAUCGUUCCUCGUCUCAACCUGUCUCCGCAAGCGGACAGCUAGCUCCGAAAGACUUUCAGGUCGAGCCACACACAAGAAUGGAAAACUGGGACUACAUCUGGCUUGCGCUGCUCUCGCUGGCCUUUUUCGUUCUCCUGGGGGCACUAACCCUGGCAUACAACAGGUAUGUACAGUUGACGGUGGAAACACUGACGCCUCCGCAGCUGCCACAGGCAGCCGCAAGAAGAAGAGAUCCAGUGGAGGAGUACAUGGCACGCAUGCCACCUCCUACGUACAGGACAGCCAUAGCUGCUCCACCUCCCUAUAGUGAUAUGUUCACGUCCGUAUGAGAUUGAGUACUGCUAUUUUAUUAUUAUGUUACCUUGGCAUUUUCAAACAGCCUGUUCAAACAGCCUGUCGGACCUAUUGCUUUCAUAUUCUGCCAGUGUUUCAUUAGUUGGUGCGCAUGGAAAAACCUGUGCGAUGAUCUUUCUGGUUGAUUAUUUUGUCAAUGAUAGCUUUCGAAGUCAUCUCUGAUCUU
Molecule: long non-coding RNA, 631 nt
Organism: Sycon ciliatum
Lineage: Eukaryota; Metazoa; Porifera; Calcarea; Leucosolenida; Sycettidae
Exons: 3
Source: RefSeq, a predicted model, not a curated record